This 497-nucleotide ribosomal RNA is filed under the name uncultured bacterium. Its description in RNAcentral is "partial 16S ribosomal RNA". It matches the Rfam family "Bacterial small subunit ribosomal RNA", at positions 28 to 507 of the family's 1533-position model. The record is from RNAcentral.
GAUGAACGCUGGCGGCAUGCCUAAUACACGCAAGUCGAGCGAACAGACGAGGAUCUUGCUCCUCUGACGGUAGCGGCGGACGGGUGAGUAACACGUGUAUAACCUAACUAUAGGACUGUGAUAGCUUCGGGAAACAGGAGCUAAUACCGGAUAAUAUAUCGAGCCGCAUGGUUCAAUAGUUAAAUACGGUUUUGCUUUCACUUAUAGAUGGAUCCGCGCCGCAUUAGCUAGUUGGUAAGGUAACGGCUUAACAAGGCUACGAUGCGUAGCCGACCUGAGAGGGUCAUCAGACACACUGGAACUGAGACACAGUCCAGACUCCUACGGGAGGAAGCAGUCGGGAAUCUUACGCGAUGGACCAAAGCCUGACGGAGCAAAGCCGCGUGAGUGAUGAUGGUCUUCGGAUCGUAAAGCUCUGUUAUUCGGGAAGAUCAAAUGUGUAAGCAACUAUGCACGUAUUGACGGUACCAACACAGAAAGCCACGGCUAACUCCGUG